GUGGCGAACGGGUGAGUAACACGUGGGUGAUCUGCCCUGCACUUCGGGAUAAGCCCGGGAAACUGGGUCUAAUACCGGAUAGGACUGCGCGGUGCAUGCCGUGUGGUGGAAAGAUUUAUCGGUGCAGGAUGGGCCCGCGGCCUAUCAGCUUGUUGGUGGGGUAAUGGCCUACCAAGGCGACGACGGGUAGCCGGCCUGAGAGGGCGACCGGCCACACUGGGACUGAGACACGGCCCAGACUCCUACGGGAGGCAGCAGUGGGGAAUAUUGCACAAUGGGCGCAAGCCUGAUGCAGCGACGCCGCGUGAGGGAUGACGGCCUUCGGGUUGUAAACCUCUUUCAGCAGGGACGAAGCGUGAGUGACGGUACCUGCAGAAGAAGCACCGGCCAACUACGUGCCAGCAGCCGCGGUAAUACGUAGGGUGCAAGCGUUGUCCGGAAUUACUGGGCGUAAAGAGCUCGUAGGCGGUUUGUCGCGUCGUCUGUGAAAACCAGCAGCUCAACUGUUGGCUUGCAGGCGAUACGGGCAGACUUGAGUAUUUCAGGGGAGACUGGAAUUCCUGGUGUAGCGGUGAAAUGCGCAGAUAUCAGGAGGAACACCGGUGGCGAAGGCGGGUCUCUGGGAAAUAACUGACGCUGAGGAGCGAAAGCGUGGGUAGCGAACAGGAUUAGAUACCCUGGUAGUCCAC
RNAcentral lists this ribosomal RNA (689 nucleotides) under uncultured Actinobacteridae bacterium. RNAcentral describes it as "bacterial SSU rRNA". It matches the Rfam family "Bacterial small subunit ribosomal RNA", at positions 95 to 798 of the family's 1533-position model. The record is from RNAcentral. Lineage: Bacteria; Bacillati; Actinomycetota; Actinomycetes.